This 78-nucleotide transfer RNA is filed under the name Verrucomicrobiota bacterium. RNAcentral describes it as "Verrucomicrobia bacterium (hot springs metagenome) tRNA-Pro". It matches the Rfam family "tRNA". From Rfam's summary of the family: Transfer RNA (tRNA) molecules are approximately 80 nucleotides in length. Their secondary structure includes four short double-helical elements and three loops (D, anti-codon, and T loops). Further hydrogen bonds mediate the characteristic L-shaped molecular structure. tRNAs have two regions of fundamental functional importance: the anti-codon, which is responsible for specific mRNA codon recognition, and the 3' end, to which the tRNAs corresponding amino acid is attached (by aminoacyl-tRNA synthetases). tRNAs cope with the degeneracy of the genetic code in two manners: having more than one tRNA (with a specific anti-codon) for a particular amino acid; and 'wobble' base-pairing, i.e. permitting non-standard base-pairing at the 3rd anti-codon position. Lineage: Bacteria; Pseudomonadati; Verrucomicrobiota. The record is from RNAcentral. RNAcentral also lists the same sequence under 3 other names.
CGGGGUGUAGCGCAGCUUGGCUAGCGCGCUUGGUUCGGGACCAAGAGGUCGCGGGUUCAAAUCCCGCCGCCCCGACCA